AAUACGUAUGCGUGGUGGAAGAAGAAUAAGAGGAAGAUCAAGAGCUGUAGUCUCAGAUGAGAUCAGAGCUACUGUAAUUGAUCAUGUAGUAAAUCAUGGUCACUCAAUGAGAGAGGCUGGUCAGAGAGUGCAGCCAAAUCUGCAACGCUCUACAGUGGCAUCUAUUGUUAGAGUUUUCCGGCAAACCAACAGGACUCAACGGUUACCUCACACAGGAGGGAGAGGACGGAUGUUCACUGAUGUGCAGGAAACUGCCAUUGUUGAUAUGGUCAUCAGAAACAAUGGGAUAAAACUCACUGAAAUUAGACACAGAGUCUUGGCAGACAACGUUACUUUCGCAAAUAUCCACAGUGUAAGCAUAACAACAAUUUCUAGAGUCCUGAAAAAACAUCAGGUCAGGAUGAAACAGUUGUACACUGUGCCUUUUGAGAGGAACUCUGAACAUGUCAAGCAACUCAGGAACCAGUAUGUCCAGAGAGUCAUGGAGAUUGAAGGCAGGCAAACACACCACAUUUUCAUCUUUGUGGAUGAGGCAGGUUUCAACUUGGCCAAAGCACGGCGACGAGGGAGGAAUGUGAUUGGGAAGAGAGCCACAGUGAAUG
Long non-coding RNA from Pelmatolapia mariae (spotted tilapia), 602 nucleotides. RefSeq lists it as uncharacterized. Lineage: Eukaryota; Metazoa; Chordata; Actinopteri; Cichliformes; Cichlidae. The record is from RefSeq and is a predicted model, not a curated record. The transcript has 3 exons.